Molecule: transfer RNA, 61 nt
Filed under: Ictidomys tridecemlineatus (thirteen-lined ground squirrel)
Lineage: Eukaryota; Metazoa; Chordata; Mammalia; Rodentia; Sciuridae
Description: Spermophilus tridecemlineatus (thirteen-lined ground squirrel) tRNA
Rfam family: tRNA
About the family: Transfer RNA (tRNA) molecules are approximately 80 nucleotides in length. Their secondary structure includes four short double-helical elements and three loops (D, anti-codon, and T loops).
Source: Rfam by way of RNAcentral
UGUGGCUUAGUGGUAGAGUGCUUGCCUAGCAUGUAUGAGGCACUGGGUUCGAGUCUCAGCA